Molecule: ribosomal RNA, 497 nt
Filed under: uncultured bacterium
Lineage: Bacteria
Description: partial 16S ribosomal RNA
Rfam family: Bacterial small subunit ribosomal RNA
Source: RNAcentral
GAUGAACGCUGGCGGCGUGCCUAAUACAUGCAAGUCGAGCGAACAGACGAGGAGCUUGCUCCUCUGACGUUAGCGGCGGACGGGUGAGUAACACGUGGAUAACCUACCUAUAAGACUGGGAUAACUUCGGGAAACCGGAGCUAAUACCGGAUAAUAUAUUGAACCGCAUGGUUCAAUAGUGAAAGACGGUUUUGCUGUCACUUAUAGAUGGAUCCGCGCCGCAUUAGCUAGUUGGUAAGGUAACGGCUUACCAAGGCAACGAUGCGUAGCCGACCUGAGAGGGUGAGCGGCCACACUGGAACUGAGACACGGUCCAGACUCCUACGGGAGGAAGCAGUAGGGAAUCUUCCGCAAUGGGCGAAAGCCUGACGGAGCAACGCCGCGUGAGUGAUGAAGGUCUUCGGAUCGUAAAACUCUGUUAUUAGGGAAGAACAAAUGUGUAAGUAACUAUGCACGUCUUGACGGUACCUAAUCAGAAAGCCACGGCUAACUACGUG